RNAcentral lists this ribosomal RNA (329 nucleotides) under uncultured eukaryote. RNAcentral describes it as "partial 18S ribosomal RNA". It matches the Rfam family "Eukaryotic small subunit ribosomal RNA", at positions 1470 to 1796 of the family's 1831-position model. The record is from RNAcentral.
CCCUUAGAUGUCCUGGGCCGCACGCGCGCUACACUGAGUGUCUGAGAUACGAGUCUGCCUGGUCCGGCAAGGUCUAGGUAAUCGCUAAAAGACACAUCAUGCUUGGGAUAGAUUAUUGCAAAUAUUAAUCUUGAACGAGGAAUUCCUAGUAAGCGCAAGUCAACAGCUUGCGUUGAUUACGUCCCUGCCCUUUGUACACACCGCCCGUCGCUACUACUGAUUGGAUGUUUAAGCGAGGUUCUCGAACUGCUAGCGACUUAGCUUCGGUGAGGUCGCAGUGUGGGAAGUGAACCUAGCUUUGGUGUCUAGAGGAAGUAAAAGUCGGAACA